UUAAGACAUGACAGUAACACUAAGAAGGACGGUGUGGUAUCAGAUUUCUUCAAUAGAAGAACUAGAGUAUGUAGGUUUAAACUACCCGGAUCUACAUUUGUAGAAACUGCACACCAGCAUGGUCAAGCACUCUUUGCUGGCACUGCUGAAAUUGAACGGUGAGGAAGACAAUUGUUUGGAACUCGAGCAAAGGAGCUUUUCCGCUG
Molecule: long non-coding RNA, 206 nt
Filed under: Elaeis guineensis (African oil palm)
Lineage: Eukaryota; Viridiplantae; Streptophyta; Magnoliopsida; Arecales; Arecaceae
Description: long non-coding RNA (EGUI_LNC068649)
Source: RNAcentral